GAGUUUGAUCCUGGCUCAGAACGAACGCUGGCGGCGUGGAUAAGACAUGCAAGUCGAACGGGCUUAAUUCCGGAGCAAUUCGGAGUUGAGCUAGUGGCGAACGGGUGCGUAACACGUGAGUGAUCUGCCUGAAAGUGGGGGAUAGCUCGUCGAAAGGCGAAUUAAUACCGCAUGUGUCCCGAAGCAAUUCGGGGUAAAGCCGGGGCAACCUGGCGCUUUUAGAGGAACUCGCGGCCUAUCAGCUUGUUGGUGAGGUAACGGCUUACCAAGGCUACGACGGGUAGCUGGUCUGAGAGGACGACCAGCCACACUGGAACUGAGACACGGUCCAGACACCUACGGGUGGCAGCAGUCGAGAAUUUUUCUCAAUGGGGGAAACCCUGAAGGAGCGACGCCGCGUGGAGGAUGAAGGCUUUCGGGUUGUAAACUCCUGUCAUUUGGGAACAAAGCCUUACGUUAACUGCGUGGAGGUUUGAUAGUACCGAAAGAGGAAGAGACGGCUAACUCUGUGCCAGCAGCCGCGGUAAUACAGAGGUCUCAAGCGUUGUUCGGAUUCAUUGGGCGUAAAGGGUGCGUAGGUGGCGCCGUAAGUCAGGUGUGAAAUUUCGGAGCUUAACUCCGAAACUGCAUUUGAUACUGCGGUGCUUGAGGACUGGAGAGGAGACUGGAAUUUACGGUGUAGCAGUGAAAUGCGUAGAGAUCGUAAGGAAGACCAGUGGCGAAGGCGGGUCUCUGGACAGUUCCUGACACUGAGGCACGAAGGCCAGGGGAGCAAACGGGAUUAGAUACCCCGGUAGUCCUGGCAGUAAACGGUGCACGUUUGGUGUGGGGGGAUUCGACCCCUUCUGCGCCGGAGCUAACGCGUUAAGUCCUGCACCUGGGGAGUACGGUCGCAAGACUGAAACUCAAAGGAAUUGACGGGGGCCCGCACAAGCGGUGGAACAUGUGGUUCAAUUCGACGCUACGCGAGGAACCUUACCUGGGCUCGAAAUGCUAGUGACCAGCUGUAGAAAUACGGCCUUCCCGCAAGGGACACUAGUAUAGGCGCUGCAUGGCUGUCGUCAGCUCGUGCCGUGAGGUGUUGGGUUAAGUCCCGCAACGAGCGCAACCCCUGCACACAGUUACUACUCGCAAGAGAGGACUCUGUGUGGACUGCUCCGGAUAACGGAGAGGAAGGUGGGGAUGACGUCAAGUCCGCAUGGCCUUUAUGUCCAGGGCUACACACGUGUUACAAUGCAGGGCACAAACCGUUGCCAACCCGCGAGGGGGAGCUAAUCGGAAAAAACUCUGCUCAGUUCGGAUUGCAGUCUGCAACUCGACUGCAUGAAGCCGGAAUCGCUAGUAAUCGUGGAUCAGCCACGCCACGGUGAUACGUUCCAGGGCAUUGCACACAC
RNAcentral lists this ribosomal RNA (1394 nucleotides) under uncultured bacterium. RNAcentral describes it as "partial 16S ribosomal RNA". It matches the Rfam family "Bacterial small subunit ribosomal RNA". The record is from RNAcentral.